AAUGGUUUUCUGAAAUUGAGUUGCUGCGCAUAAACCUUGGGUAGUAUAAAACCCCUCAUUCAUGGAAGUGUAUAAAUUACCUUAAAAAAGUACCUAAAGAAGCAUACAAGCGCACGUUCAGCCCUUUCGCCUUUUCUCUGAGGGGCGCCUCGCAGGUGCUGACUCUCACCCACUUCUCAUCGGGCGUCCAGUUCACGGAUCUCGCGAGCAUACGUCGCGGCUCCGGGUAGCCCAGGUGUAUGGCGGAGCGCUUGUGCUGGGCCUGCAGCAUUUAGUAGAAACGUGUUUUCCAGUUUUUAGUAGAAACGUGUGUUUCAGUGCACGCACGUGAGCGAGGCUCUGCUGCCCUCAACCCGCUGGCAGAACGUGACCUGUAAAGGUGCCCUGUCAGCACACACCGCCGCAGAAGGCCAAGCAGGCUGCCAUUCCUCCUGAGAGCCCUGUGGCGAGCGGAGGCCCAGGAACAGCCACUGGCCAGGCGGGCCUGUUGAAACUUCUGCAGCCUGAAGGCCAGUCACCCAGCAUGGUACCCUGAGUUCACAGUGUUCACUGACUGCCUCCUGCCUUCUCUCUGUGCGGUCCUUCCAUACCCGGUGGCGGGGAGGGGCCCAGGAACAGCCACUGGCCAGGCGGGCCUGUUGAAACUUCUGCAGCCUCAAGGCCAGUCACCCAGCAUGGUACCCUGAGUUCACAGUGUUCACUGACUGCCUCCUGCCUUCUCUCUGUGCGGUCCUUCCAUACCAGUGUUUCCUUCAACCUAGGGAAUGAGCUACUCUCUCAAAACCAGGUCAAGGGUUUCAAAAAUGUAUGGGAAACCAUCACCUGAGAUCCAUUUUGCUGAUUCUGAUCAAAUAAGUUGAAGGUGAGGUAAGUUCAAACUAAUGAAUAGCACAAACAUUUACAGCAGGUAAUAAUUCAUGACAGAUUGUUAAAGCAUACUGCUUUACAUUUCCAUGUAAACUGGAACUUCUAAAAUUU
Molecule: long non-coding RNA, 978 nt
Filed under: Ovis aries (sheep)
Lineage: Eukaryota; Metazoa; Chordata; Mammalia; Artiodactyla; Bovidae
Description: lncRNA (ENSOARG00000026456.1)
Source: RNAcentral